This 440-nucleotide ribosomal RNA is filed under the name uncultured bacterium. RNAcentral's name for it is "partial 16S ribosomal RNA". It matches the Rfam family "Bacterial small subunit ribosomal RNA", at positions 338 to 795 of the family's 1533-position model. The record is from RNAcentral.
CCUACGGGUGGCAGCAGUGGGGAAUAUUGCACAAUGGGGGGAACCCUGAUGCAGCGACGCCGCGUGGGUGAGGAAGUACUUCGGUAUGUAAAGCCCUAUCAGCAGGGAAGAAAAUGACGGUACCUGACUAAGAAUCCCCGGCUAACUACGUGCCAGCAGCCGCGGUAAUACGUAGGAGGCGAGCGUUAUCCGGAAUGACUGGGCGUAAAGGGUGCGUAGGUGGUUUGGCAAGUUAGUAGCGUAACUCCAAGGCUCAACCUUGGAACUACUACUAAAACUGUUGGACUUGAGUGCAGGAGGGGCAACCGGAAUUCCUAGUGUAGCGGUGGAAUGCGUAGAUAUUAGGAGGAACACCAGUGGCGAAGGCGGGUUGCUAGACUGUAACUGACACUGAGGCACGAAAGCGUGGGGAGCAAACAGGAUUAGAUACCCCUGUAGUC